This 322-nucleotide ribosomal RNA is filed under the name uncultured eukaryote. RNAcentral describes it as "partial 18S ribosomal RNA". It matches the Rfam family "Eukaryotic small subunit ribosomal RNA", at positions 1470 to 1796 of the family's 1831-position model. The record is from RNAcentral.
CCCUUAGAUGUUCUGGGCCGCACGCGUGCUACACUCAGUGGAUCAGCGGGUCAGGUUGCGCGAAAGUGUUUCCUAAUCUUGAAAUCCGCUCGUGAUGGGGAUUGACGGUUGCAAUUUUCCGUCAUGAACGAGGAAUACCUUGUAAGCGCGGGUCAUCAUCCCGCGCUGAAUACGUCCCUGCCCUUUGUACACACCGCCCGUCGCUCCUACCGAUUGAGUGGUCCGGUGAGGCUUUGGGAUCUGAGCGGAAAGAGCGUUUCGCUGUUUCUGCUCGGAAAACUCAGUCGAACCUUAUCAUUUAGAGGAAGGAGAAGUCGUAACA